This 443-nucleotide ribosomal RNA is filed under the name uncultured bacterium. RNAcentral's name for it is "partial 16S ribosomal RNA". It matches the Rfam family "Bacterial small subunit ribosomal RNA", at positions 338 to 795 of the family's 1533-position model. The record is from RNAcentral.
CCUACGGGUGGCAGCAGUGGGGAAUAUUGGACAAUGGGGGGAACCCUGAUCCAGCGACGCCGCGUGAGUGAAGAAGUAUUUCGGUAUGUAAAGCUCUAUCAGCAGGGAAGAAAGAAAUGACGGUACCUGACUAAGAAGCCCCGGCUAACUACGUGCCAGAAGCCGCGGUAAUACGUAGGGGGCAAGCGUUAUCCGGAUUUACUGGGUGUAAAGGGAGCGUAGACGGCGAUGCAAGUCUGAAGUGAAAGGCGGGGGCCCAACCCCUGGACUGCAUUGGAAACUGGAUGGCUGGAGUGCAGGGGAGGUAAGUGGAAUUCCUAGUGUAGCGGUGAAAUGCGUAGAUAUUAGGAGGAACACCAGUGGCGAAGGCGGCUUACUGGACUGUAACUGACGUUGAGGCUCGAAAGCGUGGGGAGCAAACAGGAUUAGAUACCCCGGUAGUC